Long non-coding RNA from Hemibagrus wyckioides, 2801 nucleotides. RefSeq lists it as uncharacterized. The transcript is spliced from 2 exons. The record is from RefSeq and is a predicted model, not a curated record. NCBI's taxonomy places the organism in Eukaryota, Metazoa, Chordata, Actinopteri, Siluriformes, Bagridae.
UAUACCCCUCUACUGUAUCACUGUAUAUUCCCUGUGAGUCAAGAGUAUUAAAAUGUAUCCCUAAUAUCCAUUUGAACAUAAGGUUUUUUCUACAUUUGGAGCAUCUGACAGACACAAUCUACAUUUAUAUCAUUUUUAUACAACUGAUCGUUUGCUUUAAUAUGUUAAUUUUCUAGUUGUUGCCUUUAUUGUGAAGUUCAUGCCUUUAUCUUAAAGGAUGUAGUGCUAAAAAAAAAGGGGAGAGGGCUUAGUGUCGUAAAAAAGUGGAGGAAUGAAAACCUAGUAAUGUCGCGCCUGCAACGUGAAAGAUACGUUCUAGCUUUGUUCAGUACCUGACUGAAGGAGGCACAAGCAGACAGGAUGAGUUCAGGAUGAGCUGUAUCAGGAUCCAGAGUCACAUCCACUGAGAGAAACACACAGUGUGUGACAUGAGUAUGCAGGUAAAAAUAUUAAAUCAUCAUCCAGUGAAUCAUAUUCAUUAGGAUUUAUAAGAGGAUUUGUAGAAGAAUAAAUAAUGAAAUAUUUUUAAGAAUAUCACUCAAAAAAAGGAAAAAAAAAACUUUUCUAGUUUAUAGUACAGGUCUGUCAAAGGUGAGAAAUAUAAAAUGCAGUGGUGUACUGUAACAAAGUAAAAUUACUUCGUUACAGUACUUAAGUAUUUUUUGAGAGUUUUUGUACUUUACUUGAGUUUUUAUAUUUCUGUCAACUUUUACUUUUACUUCACUGCUUUUUUGAAACAAAUUCUAUGCUUUUACUCCAAUACAUUUUUUGUUCGGCAUUUUCGUUACUUACUACAAAAAAACCUGCGUCCAAAUCUGCGGUAAAGGAAGUUUGUGGUUAGUGAUGACUUUAGGCCAUGUCCACACGUAGCUGGGUAUUUUUAAAAAUGGAGAUUUUUCUUUGCGUUUUUUUAAAUUCUACGUGUUAAAAAUAUCUUUGUCCACAUGAAAACACAAAACGCACUGCUAAGUGCUGUCAGGAGCAUGCCUAGUUAAUCAGAAGCCUAGACAAAACUUUAUUAACAGUUCCGGUAGUUUAACAACAAUGGCACAUCGUAGGAAAGCGAUGCCCUUGAAAUGCGAAAAUUUCACUAUAGAAUGUAGAAGUCUGACCGGGUCUCGUCCAAAACCGCCGUCGCUGUGUGCAUUGUCGGAGUUUUGUAUGUAGCAGCAGUGAGCUCCAUAUUACAUUCCGGCCCUCUGUUCAUGAACGUAAUGUGUGAGUAACUGCGCGUGUAUGUGCAUGCAUGGAAAAAGUCCAGUAAACAACGUUAACACAGUCAGUAGUUUACGUAAGUCUGCAUUGCACAAAAUAUCUUCAUAAACAAAGCUGACGUCAAAUCAAGGAGACGGGCACACAGAGAAUGAUGUCAAUUCAAAACAGUCAAAAUCUCCGUUUCCCCUGUCCACACAACACCACUGAAAAUGGACUUUUGGAAAAUCUUUACUUUGGAAGGAGUUACUUUAUACAACACUGAUAAAAUGUUUCUUCUUAGUGAUAUAUUUCUGUUUAGAAUUUUUGUUUUUCAGGAAAGAGUCACAGAAAAACAUUUGAGGAAAAACUUGAUCCUGAUGGACAAAAUAGUACAGUAAUGGUCUCUAUACCAGAGGGUCUGAUCCUUUUUGACAUGAAGUGCAGUUUGAAAUGUUCUUGUUAAUAAGUGCACCAUAUCAACAUUGAGUUUAAUUAUGACACCAUAUAAAAAAUCAUUUUCAGCAAACCUAGAAUUUUAUUCCAGCCGUAUACAGUGCUCAGCAUGAAUGAUUACACCCCCUUUCAAAAUGAAGAUUUUUAUCCAUUUCUCAGUGAAUAUGAGACCAAUUUACUGCAUUUUUACAAAACUGUUUUAUUAAACGAUUAUCUUUUAUUAGUUUAAGAGCGUGGCCAACUGACAUCUUUAGGAACAGAAAAAUAAUAGAUUCAAUUCAUGUGAGGUGAAAAAUGAUUAUACCCUACAACAAAUUCAACUAAAUCUAAUAUUUUUAUGUCCUUCUUCAGAAACAACUUAAACGAGAGUCAGAAAUAAAAAAUAAACCAUUGAUCCAAGUGGUGUAAUUUUAUCAGCAUUAUACUGGAGUGGAUUUUCUCUCUUAAAUAUCUCUUAAUUGUCACUUAUCCUGUGGUCACCUGUGUGAUGAUUGAUUAGACUCAUCCGCUGGUGAAUUCCUGUUCAUUACAAUUUUAUAUUAUGUUUUCUCCAAACACAUUCAUUGCUGUUUACUCAUUUUUGGACCAUGAUCUUAAAUUAUUUUAUUAGAAUAGUUCCAGUGUUGUCUUUGGUAAUGACUAAUCUCAUUUAAAUCCAAUAAACCAGAUUUGUAUAAAUAUCUCAUUGUAUAGGAUCAAAAAGGGAUUCUGAAGAAUAUCAAAAACAAAUACAGGACUAUAUAAGAAUGCUGCCAUCAUCAUGAAAACAUCCACAUCAGAAAUAUGCAAACUAAAGCUGCAACUAAUGAUUAUUUUCUAAUCGAUUCAUCUGUAAACUAUUUCUUCUAUUAAUCGAUUACUCUAAUGAUUUUUUUUAUUGGUCUAUCGAUUAUUUUCUGGCUGUGAACUCUCCAAUAAAGAAUAACUUAUACCAUAAAUGUUUUAACCUUUUAUUUAACUGUACUUUUUUAUUCAUAUAUUUAUUUAUUUUACAAAUAAAAAUGUUCCAACAUAAAAAAUAUCCUGGAGGGAAGUGUGUAAGUGUGUGAAAUGUGUUAAUUAUGUCAUGAAAGCUCUGACCCUCCACAAUAGAAAGCAGCCUCAUAUCCUUUGACAAUCAUGUUAGAAUGCAUGAAUUUUAGGUAAUCUAUGAA